Molecule: ribosomal RNA, 455 nt
Filed under: uncultured bacterium
Lineage: Bacteria
Description: bacterial SSU rRNA
Rfam family: Bacterial small subunit ribosomal RNA
Source: RNAcentral
UACGGAAGGCAGCAGUGGGGAAUAUUGCACAAUGGGCGAAAGCCUGAUGCAGCUAUGCCGCGUGUAUGAAGAAGGUCUUAGGGUUGUAAAGUACUUUCAUCGGGGAGGAAAAAACAAAACUAAUAAUUUUAUUUCUUGACGUUACCCGAAAAAGAAGCACCGGCUAACUCCGUGCCAGCAGCCGCGGUAAUACGGAGGGUGCUAGCGUUAAUCAGAAUUACUGGGCGUAAAGAGCACGUAGGUGGUUUUUUAAGUCAGAUGUGAAAUCCCUGGGCUUAACCUAGGAACUGCAUUUUGAAACUGAAAUACUAGAGUAUCGUAGAGGGAGGUAGAAUUCUAGGUGUAGCGGUGAAAUGCGUAGAUAUCUGGAGGAAUACCUGUGGCGAAAGCGGCCUCCUAAACGAAUACUGACACUGAGGUGCGAAAGCGUGGGGAGCAAACAGGGAUUAGAUACC